GUAGGUGGCAAGCGUUGUCCGGAAUUAUUGGGCGUAAAGCGCGCGCAGGCGGUUCUUUAAGUCUGAUGUGAAAGCCCACGGCUCAACCGUGGAGGGUCAUUGGAAACUGGAGAACUUGAGUACAGAAGAGGAAAGCGGGAUUCCACGUGUAGCGGUGAAAUGCGUAGAGAUGUGGAGGAACACCAGUGGCGAAGGCGGCUUUCUGGUCUGUAACUGACGCUGAGGCGCGAAAGCGUGGGGAGCAAACAGGAUUAGAUACCCUGGUAGUCCACGCCGUAAACGAUGAGUGCUAAGUGUUAGGGGGUUUCCGCCCCCCUUAGUGCUGCAGCUAACGCAUUAAGCACUCCGCCUGGGAGUACGGCCGCAAGGCUG
RNAcentral lists this ribosomal RNA (372 nucleotides) under uncultured organism. Its description in RNAcentral is "partial 16S ribosomal RNA". It matches the Rfam family "Bacterial small subunit ribosomal RNA", at positions 527 to 896 of the family's 1533-position model. The record is from RNAcentral.